GCUUUAAUUAACUAACCCAAACUUAUGAACAUUAUUCACCUACAAGGCAUAACAUACUACCAUUGCUAUGGGUUAGCAAUUUAGGUUGGGGUGACCUCGGAAGAUAAAAAAACUCCCGAGUGAUUAAAAUUUAGACCUACUAGUCAAAAUGUAGUAUCACUUAUUGAUCCAAUAACUUUGAUCAACGGAACAAGUUACC
RNAcentral lists this ribosomal RNA (199 nucleotides) under Speothos venaticus (bush dog). RNAcentral describes it as "partial 16S ribosomal RNA". The record is from RNAcentral. Lineage: Eukaryota; Metazoa; Chordata; Mammalia; Carnivora; Canidae.